UACGUAGGGUGCGAGCGUUGUCCGGAAUUAUUGGGCGUAAAGAGCUCGUAGGCGGUUUGUUGCGUCUAUCGUGAAAACCUGCAGCUUAACUGUGGGCUUGCGGUGGAUACGGGCAGACUUGAGUUCGGUAGGGGAGACUGGAAUUCCUGGUGUAGCGGUGAAAUGCGCAGAUAUCAGGAAGAACACCCGUGGCUAAGGCGGCUCUCUAGUACGGUACUGACGCUGAGACGCGAAAGCGUGGGAGCGAACAGG
This 252-nucleotide ribosomal RNA is filed under the name uncultured bacterium. Its description in RNAcentral is "partial 16S ribosomal RNA". It matches the Rfam family "Bacterial small subunit ribosomal RNA", at positions 524 to 776 of the family's 1533-position model. The record is from RNAcentral.